This 56-nucleotide transfer RNA is filed under the name Hemidactylus parvimaculatus. RNAcentral's name for it is "partial tRNA-Cys". Lineage: Eukaryota; Metazoa; Chordata; Lepidosauria; Squamata; Gekkonidae. The record is from RNAcentral.
GGUAACAGUAGGCCAGAGUGCAAAUCUGGAAACGUACCCAGGAGGUGCCGGGGCUU